UUGAACCAGGGGAUGUGGUGAUAACAGUUUAGCAGAUACAACAUUGCAUCUGCUGCUGACACCACACUGCCUGGGAAGAGUAAGAGUGAUUCAUUCAGAAAGACAAACAGCAGCAGCAGCAGCCCGCCCCUGGUCCUCUCGCCACAGAGGCUCCUGACUCAUACAGAGAACUGUGGGUAGAAACGAGUGAUGACCAUUGGUGUGACUGCACAAAUGAACAAGAUGAUUGCAACUGACCACACCGCCACAGCGGGGUCUUCCUUGUGAUUAUAAACCUGCAAAAGUGGACACCUCAUGACUGGGGCUCUUGUUGAUGUGCAAGUACCUGUUAUUGAUAGCAGAGGAGGGGGAAAAGAAGACUGCAAAUCCAGAAUCCAAUUGCACAAGGGUACUUUUGGUUACAUGUAUGCAUGUGGAGUCUUGUCUGGUGUCAAACGAAAGGAUGAGAAAAAGGAAAGAUCACAACCACGGACAUCUUGAGGAAGAUGCUGGAAGCACACAAAUGUACAGGAAGCGGCCAUCCUUAAUCUUUGGGACUCAAAUGCUGGGUGACUGAUUCCUUGGACCAGCUGACAGACAGACAGACAGAUGCUACCAUAAGAUCCCAGAAGCAUGUGCUGUCAUGUCUAACACAUAGCAGAAGCCAUGGGACUCUGUGAAGAGGAUCAUUCAACAAUCCCCUGUGGUAGGGAGUCGCCCUGUCAUUGCCUGGCCAGGUCUCAGACAAACACAUUAUGGUGCUGGGGACCUGUCCACAGAGAGAAAAUGAUGCAUUGAAACACACGUGGGACGUGCCCUCAAGAAGUCUUAGUGCUGAACUUGAAGUUUAACAAAUCUAGUUUUAGUUUAGCAAAUUCCCAAGAGAAGAGUCCUGGCUAGUUUUGUGACAGCUUGACACAAGCAAGACUCAUUUAGGAAAACAGAACUUCAGUUAAGAAAAUGUUCUGAACAGGCUGGCCUGUGGUCAAGAUUAUAGAACAUUUUCUCGAUUGAUAAUGGAUGUGGGAGGGCCCAUUUUACCAAGUGUGAUUCUACCCCUGGGCUAGUAGUCCUAGGAGCUAUAAGAAAGCAGGCUGAGGAAGCCCUGCAGAACAAUCCAGUAAGCAGCAUCCCUCCAUGGCUUCUUUAUCAGCCCCUGCCUCCAUGUUCCUGCUCUACUUGAGUUCAUGCCCUGAUAUUUCUCAGUGAUGUACCAUGUUGUGAAAGAGUAAGCUGGAAUAAAUCUAACACUUUCCUCCCCAAGUUUCUCUUUAUCAUGGUGUUUUAUGGUAGCCAUAGAAACUCUGAAACAAAAGUGGCACGAUAAUGGGCGGAGACUAAAAG
Molecule: long non-coding RNA, 1323 nt
Organism: Mus musculus (house mouse)
Lineage: Eukaryota; Metazoa; Chordata; Mammalia; Rodentia; Muridae
Product: predicted gene, 36696
Exons: 3
Source: RefSeq, a predicted model, not a curated record